UACGGAGGUGGCGAGCGUUGUUCGGAAUUACUGGGCGUAAGGGGCGCGUAGGCGGCUUGGCAAGUCAGAUGUGAAAGCCCCGGGCUUAACUCGGGAACUGCAUCUGAAACUGCUUUGCUUGAGUCCUGGAGGGGGUAGUGGAAUUCCCAGUGUAGCGGUGAAAUGCGCAGAUAUUGGGAGGAACACCUGUGGCGAAGGCGGCUACCUGGACAGUGACUGACGCUGAUGCGCGAAAGCUAGGGGAG
Molecule: ribosomal RNA, 245 nt
Filed under: uncultured bacterium
Lineage: Bacteria
Description: partial 16S ribosomal RNA
Rfam family: Bacterial small subunit ribosomal RNA
Source: RNAcentral